Molecule: ribosomal RNA, 403 nt
Filed under: uncultured bacterium
Lineage: Bacteria
Description: bacterial SSU rRNA
Rfam family: Bacterial small subunit ribosomal RNA
Source: RNAcentral
CAGGCCUUGACAUCCCGAUCGCGGGUCCUUGAAAGAGGACCUUUCAGUUCGGCUGGAUCGGUGACAGGUGCUGCAUGGCUGUCGUCAGCUCGUGUCGUGAGAUGUUGGGUUAAGUCCCGCAACGAGCGCAACCCUCGCCCUUAGUUGCCAUCAUUUAGUUGGGCACUCUAAGGGGACUGCCGGUGAUAAGCCGCGAGGAAGGUGGGGAUGACGUCAAGUCCUCAUGGCCCUUACGGCCUGGGCCACACACGUGCUACAAUGGCGGUGACAAUGGGCAGCAAACCCGCAAGGGGGCGCUAAUCUCAAAAAGCCGUCUCAGUUCGGAUUGGAGUCUGCAACUCGACUCCAUGAAGUUGGAAUCGCUAGUAAUCGUGGAUCAGCACGCCACGGUGAAUACGUUCCC